CGCUGAACUUAAGCAUAUCACUAAGCGGAGGAAAAGAAACUAACCAGGAUUCCCUUAGUAACGGCGAGUGAACAGGGAUCAACCCACCACCGAAGCCUA
RNAcentral lists this ribosomal RNA (99 nucleotides) under Maritrema sp. MMIB. Its description in RNAcentral is "partial 28S ribosomal RNA". It matches the Rfam family "Eukaryotic large subunit ribosomal RNA", at positions 26 to 124 of the family's 3401-position model. Lineage: Eukaryota; Metazoa; Platyhelminthes; Trematoda; Plagiorchiida; Microphallidae. The record is from RNAcentral.